Molecule: long non-coding RNA, 264 nt
Filed under: Amborella trichopoda
Lineage: Eukaryota; Viridiplantae; Streptophyta; Magnoliopsida; Amborellales; Amborellaceae
Description: long non-coding RNA (ATRI_LNC000030)
Source: RNAcentral
ACUAGUUAAGCUUCAAAAACACACCUAGAGAUCACUGUUAUGGAUGAAAGGGCUUAGAAUUUUGGCAACAUAAAGUCCAUAACAGUUUUGGGAAAACACGCUCGAAACUACACCUCAAGAUGUAUGUCAUAACGAUCUAUUAAAUGAAACGAGUAAUGAGUUUGAAAGGAAAUGAGAUAAGGCCCGUGAGUUUACUGUCAUGACCAAAUUACAGCUAUAAGACAUCCUUCAAAACAAUAGGUAGGAUUCUUGGAGAAGUUCGUG